Molecule: ribosomal RNA, 428 nt
Filed under: uncultured Actinomycetes bacterium
Lineage: Bacteria; Bacillati; Actinomycetota; Actinomycetes
Description: bacterial SSU rRNA
Rfam family: Bacterial small subunit ribosomal RNA
Source: RNAcentral
AACGCGAAGAACCUUACCUGGGUUUGACAUGCACAGGACGCGUCUAGAGAUAGGCGUUCCCUUGUGGCCUGUGUGCAGGUGGUGCAUGGCUGUCGUCAGCUCGUGUCGUGAGAUGUUGGGUUAAGUCCCGCAACGAGCGCAACCCUUGUCUCAUGUUGCCAGCACGUGAUGGUGGGGACUCGUGAGAGACUGCCGGGGUCAACUCGGAGGAAGGUGGGGAUGACGUCAAGUCAUCAUGCCCCUUAUGUCCAGGGCUUCACACAUGCUACAAUGGCCGGUACAAAGGGCUGCGAUGCCGUGAGGUGGAGCGAAUCCUUUCAAAGCCGGUCUCAGUUCGGAUCGGGGUCUGCAACUCGACCCCGUGAAGUCGGAGUCGCUAGUAAUCGCAGAUCAGCAACGCUGCGGUGAAUACGUUCCCGGGCCUUGUA